UUGAGUGGUGUGGUUUGAAUCACCUGCAGCUCAGCACUGACAAGACUAAGGAAUUAGUGAUGGACUUUAGGAGGAGAGGAACA
Long non-coding RNA from Amblyraja radiata (thorny skate), 83 nucleotides. RefSeq lists it as uncharacterized. The transcript has 3 exons. NCBI's taxonomy places the organism in Eukaryota, Metazoa, Chordata, Chondrichthyes, Rajiformes, Rajidae. The record is from RefSeq and is a predicted model, not a curated record.